AGAGUUUGAUCAUGGCUCAGGAUGGACGCUAGCGACAGGCUUAACACAUGCAAGUCGAGGGGUAACAGGGUAGCAAUACCGCUGACGACCGGCGCACGGGUGAGUAACGUGUAUGCAACCUGCCUAUAACUGGGGAAUAGCUCCCUGAAAGGGGAAUUAACACCGCAUAACACUAUUGAUUCGCAUGGAUUAGUAGUUAAAUGUAGCGAUACAGGUUAUAGAUGGGCAUGCGUGACAUUAGCUAGUUGGUGAGGUAACGGCUCACCAAGGCUACGAUGUCUAGGGGUUCUGAGAGGAAGGUCCCCCACACUGGUACUGAGACACGGACCAGACUCCUACGGGAGGCAGCAGUGAGGAAUAUUGGUCAAUGGGCGCAAGCCUGAACCAGCCAUGUCGCGUGCAGGAAGACUGCCCUAUGGGUUGUAAACUGCUUUUAUAGUAGAAGAAACACAUCUACGCGUAGAUGUCUGCCAGUAUACUAUGAAUAAGCAACGGCUAACUCCGUGCCAGCAGCCGCGGUAAUACGGAGGAUGCAAGCGUUAUCCGGAUUUAUUGGGUUUAAAGGGUGCGUAGGCGGGACUGUAAGUCAGGGGUGAAAUACUGCAGCUUAACUGUAGCAUUGCCUUUGAAACUGCCGUUCUUGAGUACAGUUGAGGUAGGCGGAAUGUGGUGUGUAGCGGUGAAAUGCAUAGAUAUACCACAGAACGCCGAUUGCGAAGGCAGCUUACUAAGCUGUUACUGACGCUGAGGCACGAAAGCGUGGGGAUCAAACAGGAUUAGAUACCCUGGUAGUCCACGCUGUAAACGAUGAUUACUGGUUGU
Molecule: ribosomal RNA, 822 nt
Filed under: uncultured bacterium
Lineage: Bacteria
Description: bacterial SSU rRNA
Rfam family: Bacterial small subunit ribosomal RNA
Source: RNAcentral